UACGUAGGGUGCGAGCGUUGUCCGGAAUUAUUGGGCGUAAAGAGCUCGUAGGCGGUUUGUUGCGUCGGCUGUGAAAUCCCGAGGCUCAACCUCGGGUCUGCAGUCGAUACGAGCAAACUAGAGUGUUGCAGGGGAGACUGGAAUUCCUGGUGUAGCGGUGAAAUGCGCAGAUAUCAGGAGGAACACCGGUGGCGAAGGCGGGUCUCUGGGCCGUAACUGACGCUGAGGAGCGAAAGCGUGGGGAGCGAACAGG
RNAcentral lists this ribosomal RNA (253 nucleotides) under uncultured bacterium. RNAcentral's name for it is "partial 16S ribosomal RNA". It matches the Rfam family "Bacterial small subunit ribosomal RNA", at positions 524 to 776 of the family's 1533-position model. The record is from RNAcentral.